UACGGGAGGCAGCAGUGGGGAAUAUUGCACAAUGGGCGAAAGCCUGAUGCAGCGACGCCGCGUGAGGGAUGACGGCCUUCGGGUUGUAAACCUCUUUCAGCAGGGAAGAAGCGAAAGUGACGGUACCUGCAGAAGAAGCGCCGGCUAACUACGUGCCAGCAGCCGCGGUAAU
Molecule: ribosomal RNA, 172 nt
Filed under: uncultured bacterium
Lineage: Bacteria
Also listed under: 1 other name
Description: partial 16S ribosomal RNA
Rfam family: Bacterial small subunit ribosomal RNA
Source: RNAcentral